GACGAACGCUGGCGGCGUGCUUAACACAUGCAAGUCGAACGGUGAAGCGCCUUCCGUUUUGGUGGGUGUGGAUGAGUGGCGAACGGGUGAGUAACACGUGAGUAACCUGCCCCCUUCUUCUGGAUAACCUCAUGAAAGUGUAGCUAAUACGGGAUAGUCUGGUGCUGUCGCAUGAUGGGUCUGGGAAGGAUAGUGUUGCGGUGGGGGAUGUGCGCGCGUCCUAUUAGCUUUGUGGUGGGGUGAUGGGCUAGGAUGGCGGUGACGGGUGGACGGCCUGAGAGGGUGGCCGGUGAGAAGGGGAAUGAGACACGGCGGGGACUCCUACGGGAGGCAGCAGGGGGGAAUAUUGGACAAUGGGAGCAAGCCUGAUGCGGCGACGCCGCGUGGGGGAUGGAGGCCGGCGGGUUGUGAACCUCUUUCGCCAGUGAAGCAGGCCUGCCUCGUUUGUGGGUGGGUUGACGGUAGCUGGAGAAGAAGCGCCGGCUAACUACGUG
This 494-nucleotide ribosomal RNA is filed under the name uncultured bacterium. Its description in RNAcentral is "partial 16S ribosomal RNA". It matches the Rfam family "Bacterial small subunit ribosomal RNA", at positions 28 to 507 of the family's 1533-position model. The record is from RNAcentral.